AUUAGCUCGGUAGGUUAGGGCAUGGUGCUGAUAUCACCAGGGUUGUGGGUUCAAUUCCUGUAU
This 63-nucleotide transfer RNA is filed under the name Corvus brachyrhynchos (American crow). It matches the Rfam family "tRNA", at positions 6 to 65 of the family's 71-position model. From Rfam's summary of the family: Transfer RNA (tRNA) molecules are approximately 80 nucleotides in length. Their secondary structure includes four short double-helical elements and three loops (D, anti-codon, and T loops). Further hydrogen bonds mediate the characteristic L-shaped molecular structure. tRNAs have two regions of fundamental functional importance: the anti-codon, which is responsible for specific mRNA codon recognition, and the 3' end, to which the tRNAs corresponding amino acid is attached (by aminoacyl-tRNA synthetases). tRNAs cope with the degeneracy of the genetic code in two manners: having more than one tRNA (with a specific anti-codon) for a particular amino acid; and 'wobble' base-pairing, i.e. permitting non-standard base-pairing at the 3rd anti-codon position. The record is from Rfam by way of RNAcentral. Lineage: Eukaryota; Metazoa; Chordata; Aves; Passeriformes; Corvidae.